UCCGAGUUGACCCCGGCAGUCUCCUAUGAGUCCCCGACAUUACUCGCUGGCAACAUAGGACGAGGGUUGCGCUCGUUGCGGGACUUAACCCAACAUCUCACGACACGAGCUGACGACAACCAUGCACCACCUGUAUACCGCCCUUGCGGACCCCGUAUCUCUACGAGUUUUCGGUAUAUGUCAAGCCUUGGUAAGGUUCCUCGCGUUGCAUCGAAUUAAGCCACAUGCUCCACCGCUUGUGCGGGCCCCCGUCAAUUCCUUUGAGUUUCAGCCUUGCGGCCGUACUCCCCACGCCGUAAACGGUGGGCGCUAGGUGUGGGUUUCCUUCCACGGAGAACGUGGAAGGUUCCCCACACCUAGCACCCAUCGUUUACAGCUGGGACUAC
RNAcentral lists this unclassified non-coding RNA (386 nucleotides) under uncultured Frankiales bacterium. Its description in RNAcentral is "contains 16S-23S intergenic spacer region". Lineage: Bacteria; Bacillati; Actinomycetota; Actinomycetes; Frankiales. The record is from RNAcentral.